This 107-nucleotide small nuclear RNA is filed under the name Ailuropoda melanoleuca (giant panda). The record is from RNAcentral. Lineage: Eukaryota; Metazoa; Chordata; Mammalia; Carnivora; Ursidae.
GUACUCACUUUAGCAGCAGCUAGACGAAAGCUGGAACGAUCCUGGGAAGAGCAGCAUUGCCCCUGCACAAAGGUGAGACACAAAUUUGUGAAGGAAAAAAAAAUGGU